RNAcentral lists this ribosomal RNA (426 nucleotides) under Vibrio sp. R-700. RNAcentral describes it as "bacterial SSU rRNA". It matches the Rfam family "Bacterial small subunit ribosomal RNA", at positions 258 to 676 of the family's 1533-position model. Lineage: Bacteria; Pseudomonadati; Pseudomonadota; Gammaproteobacteria; Vibrionales; Vibrionaceae. The record is from RNAcentral.
UAAUGGCUCACCAAGGCGACGAUCCCUAGCUGGUCUGAGAGGAUGAUCAGCCACACUGGAACUGAGACACGGUCCAGACUCCUACGGGAGGCAGCAGUGGGGAAUAUUGCACAAUGGGCGCAAGCCUGAUGCAGCCAUGCCGCGUGUGUGAAGAAGGCCUUCGGGUUGUAAAGCACUUUCAGUCGUGAGGAAGGUNGUAUAGUUAAUAGCAGCAUCAUUUGACGUUAGCGACAGAAGAAGCACCGGCUAACUCCGUGCCAGCAGCCGCGGUAAUACGGAGGGUGCGAGCGUUAAUCGGAAUUACUGGGCGUAAAGCGCAUGCAGGUGGUUUGUUAAGUCAGAUGUGAAAGCCCGGGGCUCAACCUCGGAAUAGCAUUUGAAACUGGCAGACUAGAGUACUGUAGAGGGGGGUAGAAUUUCAGGUGU